This 402-nucleotide ribosomal RNA is filed under the name uncultured Novosphingobium sp. RNAcentral describes it as "bacterial SSU rRNA". It matches the Rfam family "Bacterial small subunit ribosomal RNA", at positions 355 to 774 of the family's 1533-position model. The record is from RNAcentral. Lineage: Bacteria; Pseudomonadati; Pseudomonadota; Alphaproteobacteria; Sphingomonadales; Sphingomonadaceae.
UGGGGAAUAUUGGACAAUGGGCGAAAGCCUGAUCCAGCAAUGCCGCGUGAGUGAUGAAGGCCUUAGGGUUGUAAAGCUCUUUUACCCGGGAUGAUAAUGACAGUACCGGGAGAAUAAGCUCCGGCUAACUCCGUGCCAGCAGCCGCGGUAAUACGGAGGGAGCUAGCGUUGUUCGGAAUUACUGGGCGUAAAGCGCGCGUAGGCGGUUACUCAAGUCAGAGGUGAAAGCCCGGGGCUCAACCCCGGAACUGCCUUUGAAACUGGGUGACUAGAAUCUUGGAGAGGUCAGUGGAAUUCCGAGUGUAGAGGUGAAAUUCGUAGAUAUUCGGAAGAACACCAGUGGCGAAGGCGACUGACUGGACAAGUAUUGACGCUGAGGUGCGAAAGCGUGGGGAGCAAACA